Molecule: long non-coding RNA, 1438 nt
Organism: Bombus impatiens (common eastern bumble bee)
Lineage: Eukaryota; Metazoa; Arthropoda; Insecta; Hymenoptera; Apidae
Exons: 2
Source: RefSeq, a predicted model, not a curated record
GCUAAAAAUCAACGCUAUCGAUAGUAUUCAGAUCAUGUAAUAUACUCCUUUAUGUUUAUCGAUUAUGAGUGUAACUAUUUCAACUGUACCUUGAAAUAAUGGUACAAAUAAUGAUACGAAUGGUAAAAAUAAGGUACGAGUAAAGUUGUAAUUAAUCGAUAAAAAUAAUUAACGAAUUAUGUGUAACGAAAAAAGUGUUUAAUAAGCUAAGUAGGCGUGAAAUAUUCUGUCAGAACGGUGUCAAUUACCAACCAACGAAAGCUAAAAUAAGCCAUUAUUAAGAGGCCAUGAUGACCGAUGACACCUCGUUAAUUUUCGAGACUGUUGCAAUAUCAACGUAUGGCUUUUAUCUUCAAACGUGAUUAAAAAUAUAUUUACCGAUCAUUUCCUCGAUAUUGAUGUGUUAUUUUUCCGUAGGUUCUCUAUUUACGUUUAAUUGCUUUUUACGAUGACAAUUCGUUAAACGACCGAAUAUCAUUACAACGAAGAUGAUAUUUUUGGCCAACUAUAGCAACCGGAAAUGAACACGCACUGUGAAAUAUAAUGCUCGACCACCAUUAGUUUCAAAUGAAAGGUAUAAAAAGUAUCUAAAAUUUUUGGUACUUGGCUCGUAUCUGUACAAUGAGAAAAUUGCAUAAAGCCGCGGCGUUACAAACAAAGCGUUUGCCAAGUAUUUCCUGCGAUUACGUUAUCUAUCGUUCUACACGGAGUUUUACGCAGAAUUACGAAAUUAUUAAAAAUACAAUUGUUACAUUUCCACGAAAACUCGAGAAGAGUCGAGAAGAUUGAAGAACAGAAACCGUGGGCUAUAAAGAUGUAAGAUGAUUAUGCUUGCUUGAUGUUGUUUGAUCGGCUGUCGUCAUUGCUAAAAAAUGACGAAAAUGAGAAUGUCAAGUGGAACGAUGUAGAAAGAGAGUGAACAGCAGGAUAAAGUUACGCGUCGUAUUUAUAAGACGCGCUUGCAAGAAUAGAAGAUCGAAUUUGAAUACAGUCACUAUCGACUUUGUUUCGAACGAACGACGAUUGAACGACCGAUGCAACGAUCGAUGCAACGAUCGAUGCAAUCCUGGCUUUCACGAGAUCAUUAAUUAUAUCAAAUAACGAUUAUUUCAUUAUAAAUGGGUCGGAAACAUUAUCUUAGAGGAUAGAUAAAUAGAUUUGCUGCAGAUCCAAUAAUAACCAUAAGCUGUAUGCAUCUAACAGUAACAGUAGACAUGAAAGAAGAACUCACGCGGGUGACGACGAUCGGUGUACCCAAAUCAGCGCCUCCAGCGAUACGUAUUCCCCAAGGUUUGCCGGUGCUGGAUCUCUUAAGCUUCACGAUCACCGUUUGUUUCCUCGUCAUGCUCUACUCUGUCUAUCAGAAGAACGCAAUCGCGUGUUUAUAACGAACGGAAAUCGCAGAGACCGAUCGCUAAUUCGAGUAUUAAGAGCAAGA